CCGUCGUGAGACAGGUUA
This 18-nucleotide non-coding RNA is filed under the name Arabidopsis thaliana (thale cress). RNAcentral also lists the same sequence under 1 other name. The record is from RNAcentral. Lineage: Eukaryota; Viridiplantae; Streptophyta; Magnoliopsida; Brassicales; Brassicaceae.